RNAcentral lists this ribosomal RNA (495 nucleotides) under Tafaliscina sp. FGu. Its description in RNAcentral is "eukaryotic LSU rRNA". It matches the Rfam family "Eukaryotic large subunit ribosomal RNA", at positions 1493 to 1948 of the family's 3401-position model. Lineage: Eukaryota; Metazoa; Arthropoda; Insecta; Orthoptera; Gryllidae. The record is from RNAcentral.
GAUGCGGAGAAGGGUUUCGUGUGAACAGCCGUUGCACACGAGUCAGUCGAUCCUAAGCCCUAGGGGAAACCCAAUGUAUGCUGGCCUCUGGCCGCAUCGGGCGAAAGAGAAUCCGGUCCCCAUUCCGGAACCCGGUCGCGGAACCGUCUCACGUCGGGCCCCGCCUUUUAGGCGACAGCUCGUCGGGGUAACCCAACUUAACCCGGAGAAGCCGUCGGGAGGUCGGGGAAGAGUUUUCUUUUCUGUUUGAGCGUUCGGGUUCCCUGGAAUUGCUUAGCGCAGAGAGAGGGAAUGGAACGCGUAGAGCACCGCAGUUGCGGCGGUGUCCCGACAUGCCCUUCGGACCUUGAAAAUCCGGGGACGGGCCACGUGGAGGUCUCGCGCCGGUUCGUACCCAUAUCCGCAGCAGGUCUCCAAGGUGAAGAGCCUCUAGCCGAUAGAUGAAUGUAGGUAAGGGAAGUCGGCAACUUGGAUCCGUAACUUCGGAAUAAGGAU